This 622-nucleotide ribosomal RNA is filed under the name Entoloma sp. Its description in RNAcentral is "partial large subunit ribosomal RNA". It matches the Rfam family "Eukaryotic large subunit ribosomal RNA", at positions 52 to 657 of the family's 3401-position model. The record is from RNAcentral. Lineage: Eukaryota; Fungi; Basidiomycota; Agaricomycetes; Agaricales; Entolomataceae.
GGAGGAAAAGAAACUAACAAGGAUUCCCNUAGUAACUGCGAGUGAAGCGGGAAAAGCUCAAAUUUAAAAUCUGGUAGUCUUUGACUGCCCGAAUUGUAAUCUAGAGAAGUGCUAUCCGCGCUGGACCAUGUAUAAGUCUUCUGGAAUGGAGCAUCAUAGAGGGUGAGAAUCCCGUCUUUGACAUGGACUACCAGGGCUUUGUGAUGUGCUCUCAAAGAGUCGAGUUGUUUGGGAAUGCAGCUCUAAAUGGGUGGUAAAUUCCAUCUAAAGCUAAAUAUUGGCAAGAGACCGAUAGUGAACAAGUACCGUGAGGGAAAGAUGAAAAGAACUUUGGAAAGAGAGUUAAACAGUACGUGAAAUUGUUGAAAGGGAAACGCUUGAAGCCAGUCGCAUUGACCAGUGAUCAACCUUGCUUUUGCUUGGCGUAUUUUCUGGUUAAUGGGUCAGCAUCAAUUUUAACCAGUAGAAAAAAACUGAAAGAAUGUGGCAUUUUCGGAUGUGUUAUAGCUUUCAGUUAUAUAUAUUGGUUGGGAUUGAGGAACUCAGCAWGCCGCAAGGCCAGAUAUUAAAUCAUGUUCAUGCUUAGGAUGCUGGCAUAAUGGCUUUAAUCGACCCGUCUUGA